UACGUAGGGGCCGAGCGUUGUCCGGAGUUAUUGGGCGUAAAGCGCGCGCAGUCAGCCCGACGUGAAAGCCCCCGGCUUAACCGGGGAGGGUCGUGGGGGACGGCACCGCUUGAGGGCGGGAGAGGUCGGUGGAAUUCCCGGUGUAGUGGUGAAAUGCGUAGAGAUCGGGAGGAACACCUGUGGCGAAGGCGGCCGACUGGGCCGACCCUGACGCUGAGGCGCGAAGGCGUGGGGAGCGAACGGG
Molecule: ribosomal RNA, 244 nt
Filed under: uncultured bacterium
Lineage: Bacteria
Description: partial 16S ribosomal RNA
Rfam family: Bacterial small subunit ribosomal RNA
Source: RNAcentral